Molecule: ribosomal RNA, 497 nt
Filed under: uncultured bacterium
Lineage: Bacteria
Description: partial 16S ribosomal RNA
Rfam family: Bacterial small subunit ribosomal RNA
Source: RNAcentral
GAUGAACGCUGGCGGCGUGCCUAAUACAUGCAAGUCGAGCGAACAGACGAGGAGCUUGCUCCUCUGACGUUAGCGGCGGACGGGUGAGUAACACGUGGAUAACCUACCUAUAAGACUGGGAUAACUUCGGGAAACCGUAGCUAAUACCGGAUAAUAUAUUGAACCGCAUGGUUCAAUAGUGAAAGACGGUUUUGCUGUCUCUUCUAGAUGGCUACGCGCCGCAUUAGCUAGUUGUGACGGUAACGGCCUACCAAGGCUACGAUGCGUAGCCGAGGGGAGAGGGUGAUCGCCCACAUGAGAACUGAGACGCGGACCAGACUCCUACGGGAGGGAGCAGUAUGGUAUGUUAGGCAAUGGGCGAAAGCAUGACGGAACAGGGGCGAGUGAGUGAUGACGGUCUUCGGAUCGUGAAGAUCUGUUACUAGGGAAGAACAAAUGUGUAAGGAGAUAUGGACGAAUUGACGGUACCUGAACAGAAAGCGACGGCUAACUACGUG